RNAcentral lists this ribosomal RNA (301 nucleotides) under uncultured bacterium. Its description in RNAcentral is "partial 16S ribosomal RNA". It matches the Rfam family "Bacterial small subunit ribosomal RNA", at positions 509 to 808 of the family's 1533-position model. The record is from RNAcentral.
CAGUAGCCGCGGUAAUACGUAGGGUGCAAGCAUUAAUCGGAAUUACUGGGCGUAAAGCGUGCGUAGGCGGUUUGUUAAGUCUGCUGUGAAAUCCCCGGGCUCAACCUGGGAAUGGCAGUGGAUACUGGCAAGCUAGAGUGUGUCAGAGGAUGGUGGAAUUCCCGGUGUAGCGGUGAAAUGCGUAGAGAUCGGGAGGAACAUCAGUGGCGAAGGCGGCCAUCUGGGACAACACUGACGCUGAGGCACGAAAGCGUGGGGAGCAAACAGGAUUAGAUACCCCGUAGUCCCUGUCUCUUAUACC